UUUAGCUAACUGACUUCAUAAGGAUUGGGCAGCGAAAAAUUAUUUCCCAGUCCAUAUGGUAAAGCCAAAUUUCAAUGGCCCCUCCCAAAACCUUAAUUCCUAGUCCAAUUUUUUUGUAAUAGGAAGGAAAUUUUAGGACCUGGGAUAAAUUACUCUGCUAAUGCCAUAACAUUCAUCAUCAAUACAUGGAUCGCUAAAAGAUGCUGCCAACAAAAGUGUACAAAUUUUCAAUAGCGAAUUUGAUUUUCAACACAGGAGACCAG
RNAcentral lists this unclassified non-coding RNA (263 nucleotides) under Hevea brasiliensis (rubber tree). Lineage: Eukaryota; Viridiplantae; Streptophyta; Magnoliopsida; Malpighiales; Euphorbiaceae. The record is from RNAcentral.